RNAcentral lists this ribosomal RNA (540 nucleotides) under Bougainvillia sp. PM JRH-2014. Its description in RNAcentral is "partial 16S ribosomal RNA". It matches the Rfam family "Bacterial large subunit ribosomal RNA", at positions 1808 to 2530 of the family's 2925-position model. Lineage: Eukaryota; Metazoa; Cnidaria; Hydrozoa; Anthoathecata; Bougainvilliidae. The record is from RNAcentral.
CAAAAACAUAGCCCUUGUAAAAAUCAAAGGUGUAACCUGCCCAAUGGCCUAAAAGUAUAUAAAAUUAAAUUUUUAAAAGAAGGCUUAAAGGACGCAGUAUCUUGACUGUGGUAAUGUAGCAUAAUCACUCGCCACUUAAUUGGUGGAUAGUAUGAAUGGUUGAACGAAUAUUACACUGUCUCCUCUAGAAAAUUCCUGAAAUUGAAAUAAUAGUAAAGAUGCUAUUUAAAACUGUAAGACGAAAAGACCCUAUAGAGCUUAACUAUUUUCUACAAUUAGAGAAAUAAAAGAAAUAUUUAUUAAAUUUGUAGAAAGGUAGUUUAGUUGGGGCGACUUUCUUCUAAAACUAACGAAGAUAAGCAAUGUUAAUAAAAAAGACUUAUUGUAUAAUUCAUAAAUUUAACAAUUACAAAAGUAGGCUAUAAUGACCCAUUAGUUUUAUAAGACAAAUCUAAUGAUCAAUAAAUAAAAGCUACCUUAGGGAUAACAGGAUAAUUUUGUUCUAGAGAUCAUAUCGAAGACAAAGUUUGUCACCUCGAU